This 522-nucleotide ribosomal RNA is filed under the name uncultured Eubacteriales bacterium. Its description in RNAcentral is "bacterial SSU rRNA". It matches the Rfam family "Bacterial small subunit ribosomal RNA", at positions 1 to 507 of the family's 1533-position model. Lineage: Bacteria; Bacillati; Bacillota; Clostridia; Eubacteriales. The record is from RNAcentral.
GAGGUAAGUUUGACGUCCUCGGUCGUACGAGGAUGAACGCGUGGCCGGUCGUGACUUAACACAGUCGACUAAGUCGAACGUAAGCACUUAAGACGGAUUACUUCGGUUUGAAGUCUUAUUUGACUGAGUGGCGGACGGGUGAGUAACGCGUGGGUAACCUGCCUCAUACAGGGGGAUAACAGUUAGAAAUGACUGCUAAUACCGCAUAAGCGCACGGUCUCGCAUGGGACGGUGUGAAAAACUCCGGUGGUAUGAGAUGGACCCGCGUCUGAUUAGCUGGUUGGCGAGGUAAGGGGCUCACCAAGGCGACGAUCAGUAGCCGGCCUGAGAGGGUGAACGGCCACAUUGGGACUGAGACACGGCCCAAACUCCUACGGGAGGCGGCAGUGGGGAAUAUUGCACAAUGGGGGAAACCCUGAUGCAGCGACGCCGCGUGAAGGAAGAAGUAUUUCGGUAUGUAAACUUCUAUCAGCAGGGAAGAAAAUGACGGUACCUGACUAAGAAGCCCCGGCUAACUACGUG